RNAcentral lists this ribosomal RNA (450 nucleotides) under uncultured bacterium. RNAcentral describes it as "bacterial SSU rRNA". It matches the Rfam family "Bacterial small subunit ribosomal RNA", at positions 30 to 473 of the family's 1533-position model. The record is from RNAcentral.
AUUGAACGCUGGCGGAAUGCUUUACACCUUUUAANACGAGCGGCAGCGCGGGGCAACCUGGCGGCGAGCNGCGAACGGGUGAGUAAUGCAUCGGAACAUGUCCAUGUCGUGGGGGAUAGCCCGGCGAAAGCCGGAUUAAUACCGCAUACGCCCGAGAGGGGAAAGUGGGGGACCGCAAGGCCUCACGCGAUUGGGUUGGCCGAUGUCCGAUUAGCUAGUUGGUGGGGUAAAGGCUUACCAAGGCGAUGAUCGGUAGCUGGUCUGAGAGGAUGAUCAGCCACACUGGGACUGAGACACGGCCCAGACUCCUACGGGAGGCAGCAGUGGGGAAUUUUGGACAAUGGGGGCAACCCUGAUCCAGCCAUUCCGCGUGAGUGAAGAAGGCCUUCGGGUUGUAAAGCUCUUUUGUCCGGAACGAAACGGUGAACGUGAAUAUCGUUCGCUACUGAC